This 489-nucleotide long non-coding RNA is filed under the name Nothobranchius furzeri (turquoise killifish). Its description in RNAcentral is "lncRNA (ENSNFUG00015004306.1)". The record is from RNAcentral. Lineage: Eukaryota; Metazoa; Chordata; Actinopteri; Cyprinodontiformes; Nothobranchiidae.
AUGCUCCCAAUUAAUUGUAUAAUUUUAUUGUUCAUUUAUUAUAUUUAUUACUUCCUGUUCCAGACUGAAACAAUCAUCCAGCGUUUGGAAAGAGCCCUGUCACUUUCAGGAACUACAUCUGUGGAUCCUCAUUUCAUAACAGAUGUUAUUCUGCCCGAGGCUCUGAUUCAGUGGGUGCAGACUACAAAUGUCAUCUGCCGUUUUCAAGCAGAAGACUUGCUUAUGAAGACCAAGCCAUUCAUUGACAAUGAAGGAAAAGCAGAACUGGCCAUUAAUGAUGACACUCCAAAGGUAAAGCACACAUAACAAGUAUAGUAUAUAGUACAUAUGUAUAUAUUUACAGUGAGGGCGGAGGGUGUUUGAUGUCCCGGGAAUUUUGCAACUUCUACUUCGAAAUCAAAGAGGGGUUUUCAGCAUACAUGCAUAAACAUUGCAUGUAUAUAUAUAAAUGUGUGUGUGUGUGUGUGUGUGUGUGUGUGUCUGUCUGUC